GGGACGGUGCCAGAGUGGUCGAAUGGAGCAGACUGUAAAUCUGACGGCUAAAACCCGCGAAGGUUCGAAUCCUUCCUGUCCCACCA
Molecule: transfer RNA, 86 nt
Filed under: Rhizobium sp. MHM7A
Lineage: Bacteria; Pseudomonadati; Pseudomonadota; Alphaproteobacteria; Hyphomicrobiales; Rhizobiaceae
Description: tRNA-Tyr
Rfam family: tRNA
About the family: Transfer RNA (tRNA) molecules are approximately 80 nucleotides in length. Their secondary structure includes four short double-helical elements and three loops (D, anti-codon, and T loops).
Source: RNAcentral